RNAcentral lists this ribosomal RNA (407 nucleotides) under uncultured bacterium. RNAcentral's name for it is "bacterial SSU rRNA". It matches the Rfam family "Bacterial small subunit ribosomal RNA", at positions 28 to 417 of the family's 1533-position model. The record is from RNAcentral.
AAUCAACGCUGGCGGCGUGCCUAACACAUGCAAGUCGAGCGGGAAAGGGGGCUUCGGCCCCUGAGUAUAGCGGCGGACGGGUGAGUAACACGUGGGUAAUUUGCCCUUGGGUGUGGAAUAACUCAGGGAAACUUGAGCUAAUACCGCAUGACAUCCCCUUCUCACAGGAGUUGGGGAUCAAAGCCGGGGACCCUUCGGGGCCUGGCGCCUGAGGAGAAGCCCGCGCCCGAUUAGCUAGUUGGUGAGGUAAUGGCUCACCAAGGCUUCGAUCGGUAGCCGGCCUGAGAGGGCGACCGGCCACACUGGGACUGAGACACGGCCCAGACUCCUACGGGAGGCAGCAGUGGGGAAUCUUGCGCAAUGGGCGAAAGCCUGACGCAGCGACGCCGCGUGAGGGAUGACGGCCU